UACGGGAGGCAGCAGUGGGGAAUAUUGCACAAUGGGCGCAAGCCUGAUGCAGCCAUGCCGCGUGUAUGAAGAAGGCCUUCGGGUUGUAAAGUACUUUCAGUCGUGAGGAAGGUGUUAAGGUUAAUAACCUUAGCAAUUGACGUUAGCGACAGAAGAAGCACCGGCUAACUCCGUGCCAGCAGCCGCGGUAAUACGGAGGGUGCGAGCGUUAAUCGGAUUUACUGGGCGUAAAGCGUGCGUAGGCGGCUGAUUAAGUCGGAUGUGAAAUCCCUGAGCUUAACUUAGGAAUUGCAUUCGAUACUGGUCAGCUAGAGUAUGGGAGAGGAUGGUAGAAUUCCAGGUGUAGCGGUGAAAUGCGUAGAGAUCUGGAGGAAUACCGAUGGGCGAAGGCAGCCAUCUGGGCCUAAUACUGACGCUGAGGUACGAAAGCAUGGGGAAGCAAACAGGAUUAGAUACC
Molecule: ribosomal RNA, 457 nt
Filed under: uncultured bacterium
Lineage: Bacteria
Description: bacterial SSU rRNA
Rfam family: Bacterial small subunit ribosomal RNA
Source: RNAcentral